RNAcentral lists this ribosomal RNA (445 nucleotides) under uncultured bacterium. Its description in RNAcentral is "partial 16S ribosomal RNA". It matches the Rfam family "Bacterial small subunit ribosomal RNA", at positions 354 to 796 of the family's 1533-position model. The record is from RNAcentral.
GUGAGGAAUAUUGGUCAAUGGGCGAGAGCCUGAACCAGCCAAGUCGCGUGAAGGAAGACGGCCCUACGGGUUGUAAACUUCUUUUGCAAUGGAAUAAAAAGAGUUACGUGUAAUUCAUUGUAUGUACAUUGCGAAUAAGGAUCGGCUAACUCCGUGCCAGCAGCCGCGGUAAUACGGAGGAUCCGAGCGUUAUCCGGAUUUAUUGGGUUUAAAGGGUGCGUAGGCAGAUUGGAAAGUCAGCGGUGAAAGUUUGCAGCUUAACUGUAAAAUUGCCAUUGAAGAUGUCAGUCUUGAGUGCAAAUGAGGUAGGCGGAAUGUGUUGUGUAGCGGUGAAAUGCAUAGAUAUAACACAGAACACCAAUUGCGAAGGCAGCUUACUGGGAUGCAACUGACGCUGAGGCACGAAAGCGUGGGGAUCAAACAGGAUUAGAUACCCGUGUAGUCC